AGAGUUUGAUCCUGGCUCAGGAUGAACGCUGGCGGCGUGCUUAACACAUGCAAGUCGAACGAUGAAGCCCAGCUUGCUGGGUGGAUUAGUGGCGAACGGGUGAGUAACACGUGAGCAACCUGCCCCUGACUCUGGGAUAAGCGCUGGAAACGGCGUCUAAUACUGGAUAUGUCCCAUCACCGCAUGGUGUGUGGGUGGAAAGAUUUUUCGGUUGGGGAUGGGCUCGCGGCCUAUCAGCUUGUUGGUGAGGUAAUGGCUCACCAAGGCGUCGACGGGUAGCCGGCCUGAGAGGGUGACCGGCCACACUGGGACUGAGACACGGCCCAGACUCCUACGGGAGGCAGCAGUGGGGAAUAUUGCACAAUGGGCGCAAGCCUGAUGCAGCAACGCCGCGUGAGGGAUGACGGCCUUCGGGUUGUAAACCUCUUUUAGCAGGGAAGAAGCGAAAGUGACGGUACCUGCAGAAAAAGCACCGGCUAACUACGUGCCAGCAGCCGCGGUAAUACGUAGGGUGCAAGCGUUAUCCGGAAUUAUUGGGCGUAAAGAGCUCGUAGGCGGUUUGUCGCGUCUGCUGUGAAAUCCCGAGGCUCAACCUCGGGCUUGCAGUGGGUACGGGCAGACUAGAGUGCGGUAGGGGAGAUUGGAAUUCCUGGUGUAGCGGUGGAAUGCGCAGAUAUCAGGAGGAACACCGAUGGCGAAGGCAGAUCUCUGGGCCGUAACUGACGCUGAGGAGCGAAAGGGUGGGGAGCAAACAGGAUUAGAUACCCUGGUAGUCG
RNAcentral lists this ribosomal RNA (776 nucleotides) under uncultured bacterium. RNAcentral's name for it is "bacterial SSU rRNA". It matches the Rfam family "Bacterial small subunit ribosomal RNA", at positions 8 to 796 of the family's 1533-position model. The record is from RNAcentral.